Molecule: ribosomal RNA, 167 nt
Filed under: Syzygium smithii (lilly-pilly)
Lineage: Eukaryota; Viridiplantae; Streptophyta; Magnoliopsida; Myrtales; Myrtaceae
Description: 5.8S ribosomal RNA
Rfam family: 5.8S ribosomal RNA
About the family: 5.8S ribosomal RNA (5.8S rRNA) is a component of the large subunit of the eukaryotic ribosome. It is transcribed by RNA polymerase I as part of the 45S precursor that also contains 18S and 28S rRNA. Functionally, it is thought that 5.8S rRNA may be involved in ribosome translocation.
Source: RNAcentral
AUUAUUCAUAACGACUCUCGGCAACGGAUAUCUCGGCUUUCGCAUCGAUGAAGAACGUAGCGAACUGCGAUACUUGGUGUGAAUUGCAGAAUNCCGUGAACCAUCGAGUCUUUGAACGCAAGUUGCGCCCGAAGCCAUUUGGUCGAGGGCACGUUUGCCUGGGUGUC